AGAGUUUGAUCCUGGCUCAGGAUGAACGCUGGCGGCGUGCCUAACACAUGCAAGUCGAGCGAUUUACUUCGGUAAAGAGCGGCGGACGGGUGAGUAACGCGUGGGUAACCUGCCCUGUACACACGGAUAACAUACCGAAAGGUAUGCUAAUACGAGAUAAUAUGGGAGAGUCGCAUGGCUUUCUUAUCAAAGUUUUUGCGGUACAGGAUGGACCCGCGUCUGAUUAGCUAGUUGGUAAGGUAACGGCUUACCAAGGCGACGAUCAGUAGCCGACCUGAGAGGGUGAUCGGCCACAUUGGAACUGAGACACGGUCCAAACUCCUACGGGAGGCAGCAGUGGGGAAUAUUGCACAAUGGGCGAAAGCCUGAUGCAGCAACGCCGCGUGAGCGAUGAAGGCCUUCGGGUCGUAAAGCUCUGUCCUCAAGGAAGAUAAUGACGGUACUUGAGGAGGAAGCCCCGGCUAACUACGUGCCAGCAGCCGCGGUAAUACGUAGGGGGCUAGCGUUAUCCGGAAUUACUGGGCGUAAAGGGUGCGUAGGCGGUCUUUCAAGUCAGGAGUGAAAGGCUACGGCUCAACCGUAGUAAGCUCUUGAAACUGUAAGACUUGAGUGCAGGAGAGGAGAGUAGAAUUCCUAGUGUAGCGGUGAAAUGCGUAGAUAUUAGGAGGAAUACCAGUUGCGAAGGCGGCUCUCUGGACUGUAACUGACGCUGAGGCACGAAAGCGUGGGGAGCAAACAGGAUUAGAUACCCUGGUAGUCCACGCCGUAAACGAUGAGUACUAGCUGUCGGAGGUUACCCCCUUCGGUGGCGCAGCUAACGCAUUAAGUACUCCGCCUGGGAAGUACGCUCGCAAGAGUGAAACUCAAAGGAAUUGACGGGGACCCGCACAAGUAGCGGAGCAUGUGGUUUAAUUCGAAGCAACGCGAAGAACCUUACCUAAGCUUGACAUCCUUUUGACCGAUGCCUAAUCGCAUCUUUCCCUUCGGGGACAGAAGUGACAGGUGGUGCAUGGUUGUCGUCAGCUCGUGUCGUGAGAUGUUGGGUUAAGUCCCGCAACGAGCGCAACCCUUGCCUUUAGUUGCCAUCAUUAAGUUGGGCACUCUAGAGGGACUGCCAGGGAUAACCUGGAGGAAGGUGGGGAUGACGUCAAAUCAUCAUGCCCCUUAUGCUUAGGGCUACACACGUGCUACAAUGGGUGGUACAGAGGGCAGCCAAACCGUGAGGUGGAGCUAAUCCCUUAAAGCCAUUCUCAGUUCGGAUUGUAGGCUGAAACUCGCCUACAUGAAGCUGGAGUUACUAGUAAUCGCAGAUCAGAAUGCUGCGGUGAAUGCGUUCCCGGGUCUUGUACACACCGCCCGUCACACCACGGAAGUUGGGGGCGCCCGAAGCCGGAUAGCUAACCUUUUGGAAGCGUCCGUCGAAGGUGAAAUCAAUAACUGGGGUGAAGUCGUAACAAGGUAGCCGUAUCGGAAGGUGCGGCUGGAUCACCU
This 1491-nucleotide ribosomal RNA is filed under the name Romboutsia hominis. RNAcentral describes it as "bacterial SSU rRNA". It matches the Rfam family "Bacterial small subunit ribosomal RNA". The record is from RNAcentral. Lineage: Bacteria; Bacillati; Bacillota; Clostridia; Peptostreptococcales; Peptostreptococcaceae.